This 650-nucleotide ribosomal RNA is filed under the name Panulirus sp. MHLTHC-2001. RNAcentral describes it as "partial 16S ribosomal RNA". It matches the Rfam family "Bacterial large subunit ribosomal RNA", at positions 1804 to 2726 of the family's 2925-position model. Lineage: Eukaryota; Metazoa; Arthropoda; Malacostraca; Decapoda; Palinuridae. The record is from RNAcentral.
UUAACAAAAACAUGUCUUNAUGAAUUUAUGUAAAGUCAGCCUGCACAGUGACACUAAAGUUUAACGGCCGCGGUAGCAUGACCGUGCUAAGGUAGCAUAAUCAUAUGUCCUUUAAUUGAGAACUGGUAUAAACGGCUGAACAAGAAAUUAACUGUCUCUCCUAUAAAAUUUGAAAUUAACAUUUAAGUUAAAAGGCUUAAAUAAAAUAGGGGGACGAUAAGACCCUAUAAAUCUUUAUAAUUAGAUUAAUAAGUCUUAGAGAGUAGUUAUAAUCUGAGAUUAAUAUUUCAAUUAUUUUGUUGGGGCUACAAGAGUAUAAUAAGCAACUGCUUUGAGGAAUGAGUUAAUUAUUUCUAUCAUGUUUAUACUGAGAUCCUUCUUUAAAGAUAUCAGAUUAAGUUACUUUAGGGAUAACAGCGUAAUCUUUCUUUAAGAGUUCAUAUCGAAAGGAGGGGUUGCGGCCUCGAUGUUGAAUUAAAGAACCUUUGUGGUGCAGCAGCUUCUAAAGGAGGUCUGUUCGACCUUUAAAUCUUUACAUAAUUUGAGCUCAGGCAGGAGUAAGCCAGGUCGGUUUCUAUCUCCUGUUAUAAAGAUCGUUUGUUUCUAGGACGAAAGGAUCAGAAAGCUGAAAUAGUUUAAGCUAGUUUAUC